RNAcentral lists this long non-coding RNA (340 nucleotides) under Bos taurus (domestic cattle). RNAcentral describes it as "long non-coding RNA NONBTAT017048". The record is from RNAcentral. Lineage: Eukaryota; Metazoa; Chordata; Mammalia; Artiodactyla; Bovidae.
UUUAUCCUUUAAGAUUAUUGCUUAUUAAAUAUUGAAGUGUUUAAGAUGUUGAAAGAGUCUCUGAAAUUAUCUAAUUGGGUAGAAUCUUUUCAUGUAGAAUUUGUAGUCAUUUUGUAUUUUAGCUAUUUUAUGAAAUUACAUUAGUAAACUCAAAAUGUUUUUUUCUCUUUUUAUAUAGAACCUAUUGAUCUGAUUAUAGGAUACUUGGUUAAUUAAGAGAAAGCAGUUUAUUAUUCAUUUACUGUUUGGUUGGACUUGGUGCUAAAAUUGUAAGGUUGCAGCAUGGUCUAGACCUGUUUCCUGGAUGCCGCCAGUUGAAGCUCUGAGUCCUAUAGAAUUU